This 512-nucleotide ribosomal RNA is filed under the name uncultured bacterium. Its description in RNAcentral is "partial 16S ribosomal RNA". The record is from RNAcentral.
GGAGUUAGCCGGUGCUUCUUCUGCGAGUAACGUCACAGAUGUAAGGUAUUAACUUACACCCUUUCCUCCUCGCUGAAAGUGCUUUACAACCCGAAGGCCUUCUUCACACACGCGGCAUGGCUGCAUCAGGGUUUCCCCCAUUGUGCAAUAUUCCCCACUGCUGCCUCCCGUAGGAGUCUGGGCCGUGUCUCAGUCCCAGUGUGGCUGAUCAUCCUCUCAGACCAGCUAGGGAUCGUCGCCUAGGUGAGCCUUUACCUCACCUACUAGCUAAUCCCACCUGGGCUUAUCCAUCAGCGCAAGGCCCGAAGGUCCCCUGCUUUCCCCCGUAGGGCGUAUGCGGUAUUAGCAGUCGUUUCCAACUGUUAUCCCCCACAAAUGGGCAAAUUCCCAGGCAUUACUCACCCGUCCGCCGCUCGUCAUCUUCAAAAGCAAGCUUUUGAAAUGUUAACCGCUCGACUUGCAUGUGUUAGGCCUGCCGCCAGCGUUCAAUCUGAGCCAUAAUCAAACUCUGA